Molecule: non-coding RNA, 825 nt
Filed under: Foraminitermes rhinoceros
Lineage: Eukaryota; Metazoa; Arthropoda; Insecta; Blattodea; Termitidae
Source: RNAcentral
AAUAAGUUUUAUUCUUGCUUGUUCAUUUAGUUUAUGCUUGUUCUAUAUGUAAAUUUUUGUGUGGGUUAUAUUCCUUUGUUCUAGAUGGGUUAGAGGGGUGGUUUAUGUUAGGUUAAUUCUCAUUAGUUGUUAUUGUUUUGGUCAAGUUCCCUUGUAUUCAGUAAUUCAUUUUAGUUUCGGUUAAAUUUUGUGCCAGCAGCCGCGGUUAUACCUUGGAAGCAUUUGAAUGUGUUUGGUAUUUGCAGUUAUAUGUUAUAUUUAUUUGGAUUUUUUGUUGUUAGUUUAUUUAGGUGAAAUUUUUAUUUUGUUUACCUUUUUUUAUUUGUUUGGAGGCUGUGAAAUUCCUUUUUAUAAACUAGGAUUAGAUACCCUAUUAUUUUGGAAUGUUAAUUAUUUUGCCUGAGUAGUAUUAGUUAUGUUCUUGAAACUUAAAGAAUUUGGCGGUAUCUUAUUCCGUCCAGAGGAAUCUGCCCCGUUAUCGAUAGUCCGCGUUGGACCUUACUUGGUUGAUUUGGUUUGUAUACCGCCGUUUAUUGUUUAUCUUUUUAGAGUUAAUAAUUUUCUUGUUUCUUUAUUUUGAUUUAUUUCAGGUCAAGGUGCAGCUUGUUUCUAAGUGGAAUGGUGGAUUACAUUGUUAUUUGUCUUAUUGGAUUGUUUGAUUUAAAAAUAUUGACAUGAAAUUGGAUUUGGUUGUAAUGCUUUGUAGAUUGUUUUCGUGAUAAGUGGUUCUGAGAUAUGCACACAUCGCCCGUCGCUCUCGUUUAGAAUUGUUAAUGAGAUAAGUCGUAACAAAGUGGUUGUACCGGAAGGUGCGGCUGGAAUGAA